CGUGAGUGGCGGACGGGUGAGUAACGCGUGGGUAACCUGCCUCAUACAGGGGGAUAACGGUUAGAAAUGACUGCUAAUACCGCAUAAGACCACAGCACCGCAUGGUGCAGGGGUAAAAACUCCGGUGGUAUGAGAUGGACCCACGUCUGAUUAGGUAGUUGGUGGGGUAACGGCCUACCAAGCCGACGAUCAGUAGCCGACCUGAGAGGGUGACCGGCCACAUUGGGACUGAGACACGGCCCAA
Molecule: ribosomal RNA, 244 nt
Filed under: uncultured bacterium
Lineage: Bacteria
Description: partial 16S ribosomal RNA
Rfam family: Bacterial small subunit ribosomal RNA
Source: RNAcentral